Molecule: ribosomal RNA, 400 nt
Filed under: uncultured bacterium
Lineage: Bacteria
Description: bacterial SSU rRNA
Rfam family: Bacterial small subunit ribosomal RNA
Source: RNAcentral
GGAAUAUUGGGCAAUGGGCGCAAGCCUGACCCAGCAACGCCGCGUGAAGGAAGAAGGCUUUCGGGUUGUAAACUUCUUUCAAGAGGGAAGAUAAUGACGGUACCUGACUAAGAAGCCCCGGCUAACUACGUGCCAGCAGCCGCGGUCAUACGUAGGGGGCAAGCGUUAUCCGGAUUUACUGGGUGUAAAGGGUGCGUAGGUGGCAGGGCAAGUCAGAUGUGAAAGCCCGGGGCUCAACCCCGGUACUGCAUUUGAAACUGUCCAGCUGGAGUGCAGGAGAGGUAAGCGGAAUUCCUAGUGUAGCGGUGAAAUGCGUAGAUAUUAGGAGGAACACCAGUGGCGAAGGCGGCUUACUGGACUGUAACUGACACUGAGGCACGAAAGCGUGGGGAGCAAACAG